GAGAAGCAAGAGACACGCUUCAUCAGUCGACGCGAGCACUUGGCUCGCACACUCAGGUCAGGUGUGCAUCGUCGUGUGUUUAUCGCGUAGCCUGUAGCGCAGUGCAAAACCCGAUUCGUAAUUUAUUUGUGAGACCGCCGUGAAUGAAACUACUUGUACGGCCUUGACAAUCAACGAGCGAAACGGCUUUGUGAUUUUGUCGCAUUGCACCGGCGCCGACCUCGCGUGUUCGCGAGGAGUGAAGGAAUCGACAAGUUGCGGAAAGAAUCGCGAGAAAGAUGUACGUGAACAACGAAUCAGCUGCGUAUCUGCGAUGUCUCAGCGUGAAAAUAUCUAUUUUCGCGAUCAUCUGCAUAUUAGGCACGUUCAUCUUGGGACAAGUCAAAACUCAGGAUUUCCACGACGACAUAAUCUAUCCUGGAUCGGAUAACUCGAGAGUGCGGAACAAUCCUACGGUGCAGUCCGCGGAAGACGGCGAUACGCAGAUUCCAGUGGAUCUAGCCAAUAGAUUAAAUGCGAUGGAAUCAUCGGACGAAUUUCUGCAGCUCCUUCAAGGUGUUCCACAUGCCGACACGUCGUCGUUCAUGUUAAAUAGUAGAUUCGGCGGAGAUGAAAGAACGAGCGCGAUUGUACCUACGCCGGCCAAUUGCAUACCCGAGCUACAGCCCGUUUCUCUAAAAUUGGAUGAUGAUCCUUCGACCAUGAUCUUCCCAUCUUGUACACGGAUCCCAAGAUGCGGCGGCUGUUGCAGUACCUCUCUGCUCUCGUGCCAACCAACAGCCACGGAAAUCCGCAACUUCAUGGUGAUUGUGGCGUCGGUGAAGGAACUGGGUUACAAAGGCCGGCAGAUCGUACCGCUGGAGGAGCACAUUAAGUGCAAGUGCGACUGCAAAAUUAAGGCGAAGGAUUGUACCGAAAAGCAGCAUUACGAACCGCAUAACUGUCGGUGUGCCUGCAGCAACGUCGACGAGGAGCAAAAGUGCCGGAAGGAGAGUGAUAUAAAGAUCUGGAACGGGGACCUCUGCUCUUGCUCCUGCAGGACCAUCGAGGAGUGCAGCACCGGAUACUUCUUCAACCACAACACGUGCAGGUGUGAGCUGAGAGAUUAAGGGGAUCUACUAAAGGAAUAAAACGCCUUCCUUCUCACUGCACUCUACUUUAUCACGACUUAUGUGGACCGAUAAACAGGCCGGUAAACAGAUUCGUACCCACGAAAGGUUCAAAUUACAAUUUCGGUAAUCGUCAGCCGGAAAACGUGCCACCCGUGAUAAUCCCGUUGGACCCGUCGGAUCCCAGGAG
This 1299-nucleotide unclassified non-coding RNA is filed under the name Ooceraea biroi (clonal raider ant). RNAcentral's name for it is "uncharacterized LOC105283581, transcript variant X2". Lineage: Eukaryota; Metazoa; Arthropoda; Insecta; Hymenoptera; Formicidae. The record is from RNAcentral.